AAGACGCUCGGACGCGCUGAAGCGCCGCCUGAAAUGGGCACUUAGGGUGGCGCGGAGCGACUAGUGCAACCGACCGGCUUUCGA
Molecule: non-coding RNA, 84 nt
Filed under: Chloroflexota bacterium
Lineage: Bacteria; Bacillati; Chloroflexota
Description: Chloroflexi bacterium c-di-GMP-II sequence
Rfam family: Cyclic di-GMP-II riboswitch aptamer
Source: RNAcentral